AUGUGCAGUACAUCAUCAUACGCAGUACAGUGUUCGAAGCAAGGCAUGAAUCAGACCGUUCGUCGGAACUUAGCGGCAAUUCUACGAGAUACGCCUAUUUUUAAUUUUUAGAUAUGGACACUGACAUCCCUGUGCAUGCAUGGGUGGAUGGUACAGUGUUUAUUACAUACAAUGUACACGUCAACAGGCUAUUUCCUUGAGGAUUGCAGGAAUGAACGGAAACGAAUGUAAGUGAGAACCUUGGAAUAUUAUUCUUAAUGACGAGAAUUCAGGAAGCAAAAAAAGGUUCAAGUGAAACUCGCAGAGAAAUGAUGACAAAAGAGCAAUCUGAUGGACAGGAGGAAUGGACCAAAAAUACCUGUCCACACCUAGCGCGC
This 377-nucleotide small RNA is filed under the name Histoplasma capsulatum var. duboisii H88. Its description in RNAcentral is "Histoplasma capsulatum H88 hypothetical RNA". The record is from RNAcentral. Lineage: Eukaryota; Fungi; Ascomycota; Eurotiomycetes; Onygenales; Ajellomycetaceae.